GUUUUCAGCAGUAUCGGUAGCAGCACGUCUCAGAUGUUCCUCCACCGUCUAAUAAGGGAAUCCACCAGGACCAGAGGAUUCUUCUGAUGGUUCUCAAUCAUGUCACACACGCUGCUGAAACGCUUCACAGGCAGAAAAAUCAGAGUUUAGAGACUGACAGAUGACAACUUUCACCUCAUAUCUCCCAUUGAGAGAGUAUUGUUUGGUGGAAGCGAUGUAUCGGACAGGGAUGUUGUACACUCGACUGUUGUAAAACACCACCAGUGUGUAUGGCUGCUGCGCAUCUACACCAGAGCUUUUCCUCAGCAGAAAAGAGCCAUCCUAAAAUAAAGGUAG
This is a non-coding RNA of Danio rerio (zebrafish), 336 nucleotides long. NCBI's taxonomy places the organism in Eukaryota, Metazoa, Chordata, Actinopteri, Cypriniformes, Danionidae. The record is from Ensembl.